Molecule: ribosomal RNA, 501 nt
Filed under: uncultured bacterium
Lineage: Bacteria
Description: partial 16S ribosomal RNA
Rfam family: Bacterial small subunit ribosomal RNA
Source: RNAcentral
AUUGAACGCUGGCGGCAUGCCUUACACAUGAAAGUCGAACGGCAGCACGGGUGCUUGCACCUGGUGGCGAGUGGCGAACGGGUGAGUAAUACAUCGGAACGUACCUUAUCGUGGGGGAUAACGCAGCGAAAGCUGUGCUAAUACCGCAUACGCCCUGAGGGGGAAAGCGGGGGAUCGCAAGACCUCGCGCGAUUAGAGCGGCCGAUGCCUGAUUAGCUUGUUGGUGGGGUAAAAGCCCACCAAGGCGACGAUCAGUAGCUGGUCUGAGAGGACGAGCAGCCAAACUGGGACUGAGACACGGCACAGACACGUACGGGAGGCAGCAGUGGGGAAUUUUGGACAAUGGGGGCAACCCUGAUCCAGCAAUGCCGCGUGAGUGAAGAAGGCCUUCGGGUUGUAAAGCUCUUUUGUCAGGGAAGAAACACCGGCUCUAACACAGUCCGGGAAUGACGGUACCUGAAGAAUAAGCACCGGCUAACUACGUGCCAGCCGCGGCCGUAA